UACAGAGGGGGCUAGCGUUGUUCGGAAUUAUUGGGCGUAAAGGGCGUGUAGGCGGUUUGUUAAGUCAUGUGUGAAAUCCCUCGGCUCAACCGGGGAACGACGCAUGAAACUGGCAAGCUAGAGUACCAAAGAGGGGGGUGGAAUUCCCGGUGUAGCGGUGAAAUGCGUAGAGAUCGGGAGGAACACCGGUGGCGAAGGCAGCCUCCUGGGCCAGCACUGACGCUCAUGCACGAAAGCGUGGGGAGCAAACAGG
RNAcentral lists this ribosomal RNA (253 nucleotides) under uncultured bacterium. RNAcentral's name for it is "partial 16S ribosomal RNA". It matches the Rfam family "Bacterial small subunit ribosomal RNA", at positions 524 to 776 of the family's 1533-position model. The record is from RNAcentral.